This 253-nucleotide ribosomal RNA is filed under the name uncultured bacterium. RNAcentral's name for it is "partial 16S ribosomal RNA". It matches the Rfam family "Bacterial small subunit ribosomal RNA", at positions 524 to 776 of the family's 1533-position model. The record is from RNAcentral.
UACGUAGGGGGUAAGCGUUAUCCGGAUUUACUGGGUGUAAAGGGAGCGUAGACGGCAGGGCAAGUCUGAUGUGAAAGGUCGGGGCCCAACCCCGGGACUGCAUUGGAAACUGUCCGGCUGGAGUACAGGAGAGGUAAGUGGAAUUCCUAGUGUAGCGGUGAAAUGCGUAGAUAUUAGGAGGAACACCAGUGGCGAAGGCGGCUUACUGGACUGUAACUGACGUUGAGGCUCGAAAGCGUGGGGAGCAAACAGG